This 507-nucleotide ribosomal RNA is filed under the name uncultured bacterium. RNAcentral describes it as "bacterial SSU rRNA". It matches the Rfam family "Bacterial small subunit ribosomal RNA", at positions 29 to 531 of the family's 1533-position model. The record is from RNAcentral.
AGCGAACGUUUGCGGCGGGCUUAACACAUGCAAGUCGAACGAGAAUCCCUUCGGGGAGGAAAGUGGCGCACGGGUGCGUAACACGUGGAUAACCAACCCAUUGGUUUGGGACAACACCGGGAAACUGGUGCUAAUACCAGAUGUGUCGCAGCUGUCUUCAGGCGGUUGCGAGAAAGGCCCGCAAGGGUCGCCAACGGACGGGUCCGCGUCCCAUCAGCUAGUUGGUGAGGUAAUGGCUCACCAAGGCAAAGACGGGUAGCUGGUCUGAGAGGAUGAUCAGCCACACUGGAACUGAGACACGGUCCAGACUCCUACGGGAGGCAGCAGUGGGGAAUAUUGCGCAAUGGGCGAAAGCCUGACGCAGCCACGCCGCGUGAGCGAUGAAGGUCUUCGGAUCGUAAAGCUCUGUGGGGGGAGAAGAAGAAAGCCGGUGAAGAGCCGGCCCUGACGGUAUCCCCUUAGCAAGCACCGGCUAACUCCGUGCCAGCAACCGCGGUAAAGUAGACG